UAGCGGAACUCCUACGGGAGGCAGCAGUGGGGAAUUUUGGACAAUGGGCGCAAGCCUGAUCCAGCCAUGCCGCGUGCGGGAAGAAGGCCUUCGGGUUGUAAACCGCUUUUGUCAGGGAAGAAAAGUUCCGGGCUAAUACCCUGGGAUGAUGACGGUACCUGAAGAAUAAGCACCGGCUAACUACGUGACAGCAGCCGCGGUAAUACGUAGGGUGCAAGCGUUAAUCGGAAUUACUGGGCGUAAAGCGUGCGCAGGCGGUUAUGCAAGACAGAUGUGAAAUCCCCGGGCUCAACCUGGGAACUGCAUUUGUGACUGCAUAGCUAGAGUACGGUAGAGGGGGAUGGAAUUCCGCGUGUAGCAGUGAAAUGCGUAGAUAUGCGGAGGAACACCGAUGGCGAAGGCAAUCCCCUGGACCUGUACUGACGCUCAUGCACGAAAGCGUGGGGAGCAAACAGGAUUAGAAACCCUGGUAGUCCACUUAUG
This 483-nucleotide ribosomal RNA is filed under the name uncultured bacterium. RNAcentral describes it as "bacterial SSU rRNA". It matches the Rfam family "Bacterial small subunit ribosomal RNA", at positions 328 to 803 of the family's 1533-position model. The record is from RNAcentral.